This 936-nucleotide ribosomal RNA is filed under the name Candidatus Anaerococcus timonensis. Its description in RNAcentral is "bacterial SSU rRNA". It matches the Rfam family "Bacterial small subunit ribosomal RNA", at positions 527 to 1464 of the family's 1533-position model. The record is from RNAcentral. Lineage: Bacteria; Bacillati; Bacillota; Tissierellia; Tissierellales; Peptoniphilaceae.
GUAAGGUCCGAGCGUUGUCCGGAAUCAUUGGGCGUAAAGGGUACGUAGGCGGGUAAGCAAGUUAGAAGUGAAAUCCUAUAGCCCAACUAUAGUAAGCUUUUAAAACUGCUCAUCUUGAGGUAUGGAAGGGAAAGUGGAAUUCCUAGUGUAGCGGUGAAAUGCGCAGAUAUUAGGAGGAAUACCGGUGGCGAAGGCGACUUUCUGGCCAUAACCUGAUGCUGAGGUACGAAAGCGUGGGUAGCAAACAGGAUUAGAUACCCUGGUAGUCCACGCCGUAAACGAUGAGUGUUAGGUGUCUGGAGUAAAUCUGGGUGCCGCAGCUAACGCAUUAAACACUCCGCCUGGGGAGUACGCGCGCAAGCGUGAAACUCAAAGGAAUUGACGGGGACCCGCACAAGCAGCGGAGCAUGUGGUUUAAUUCGACGCAACGCGAAGAACCUUACCAAGUCUUGACAUAUUACGGCGGAACUUAGAGAUAAGUUCUUAUGACUUCGGUCAACUGUAAUACAGGUGGUGCAUGGUUGUCGUCAGCUCGUGUCGUGAGAUGUUGGGUUAAGUCCCAUAACGAGCGCAACCCCUAUUGUUAGUUACCAUCAUUAAGUUGGGGACUCUAACGAUACUGCCGGUGACAAACCGGAGGAAGGUGGGGACGACGUCAAAUCAUCAUGCCCUUUAUGACUUGGGCUACACACGUGCUACAAUGGCAGGUACACAGAGCAGCUAAACAGUGAUGUCUUGCGAAUCUCAAAAAGCCUGUCCCAGUUCGGAUUGUACUCUGCAACUCGAGUACAUGAAGUUGGAGUUGCUAGUAAUCGUGAAUCAGAAUGUCGCGGUGAAUGCGUUCCCGGGUCUUGUACACACCGCCCGUCACACCAUGGAAGUUGGCAAUACCCGAAGCCUGUGAGCGAACCCUUGUGGACGCAGCAGUCGAAGGUA